CCUACGGGGGGCAGCAGUGGGGGAUAUUGCACAAUGGGGGGAACCCUGAUGCAGCGACGCCGCGUGGGUGAAGGAGCGUUUCGGCGCGUAAAGCCCUAUCGGCAGGGAAGAAGAUGACGGUACCUGACCAAGAAGCCCCGGCUAACUACGUGCCAGCAGCCGCGGUAAUACGUAGGGGGCAAGCGUUAUCCGGAUUUACUGGGUGUAAAGGGGGCGCAGACGGCAGUGCAAGUCUGUAGUGAAAGGCGGGGGCUCAACCCCCGGACUGCUCUGGAAACUGUACGGCUGGAGUGCAGGAGAGGUAAGUGGAAUUCCGAGUGUAGCGGUGAAAUGCGUAGAUAUUAGGAGGAACACCAGUUGCGAAGGCGGCUUACUGGACUGUAACUGACGUUGAGGCUCGAAAGCGUGGGGAGCAAACAGGAUUAGAUACCCCAGUAGUC
RNAcentral lists this ribosomal RNA (440 nucleotides) under uncultured bacterium. RNAcentral describes it as "partial 16S ribosomal RNA". It matches the Rfam family "Bacterial small subunit ribosomal RNA", at positions 338 to 795 of the family's 1533-position model. The record is from RNAcentral.